Molecule: ribosomal RNA, 944 nt
Filed under: uncultured archaeon
Lineage: Archaea
Description: bacterial SSU rRNA
Rfam family: Archaeal small subunit ribosomal RNA
Source: RNAcentral
UUCCGGUUGAUCCUGCCGGACCUUACUGCUAUCGGGGUGGGACUAAGACAUGCAAGUCGAGCGUCUCUAGCUAUGUUGAGACGCGGCAGACGGCUCAGUAACACGUGGCUAACCUACCCUCAGGACGAGGAUAAACCCGGGAAACUGGGGCUAAUACUCGAUAGGUGAGAAUGUCUGGAAUGAUUUCUCAUUCAAAGGGCUUUAGAAACAUGCUUCUAAAGUCGCCUGGGGAUGGGGCCGCGUCCGAUCAGGUUGUUGGUGAGGUAACGGCUCACCAAGCCUAUAACCGGUACGGGCCGUGAGAGCGGUAGCCCGGAGAUGGGUACUGAGACAAGGACCCAGGCCCUACGGGGCGCAGCAGUCGCGAAAACUCCGCAAUGCACGAAAGUGUGACGGGGCUACCCCGAGUGCCAUCCGCUGAGGAUGGCUUUUCUUUGGUGUAACUAGCCGGGGGAAUAAGGAGAGGGCAAGACUGGUGUCAGCCGCCGCGGUAAUACCAGCUCUCCGAGUGGUAGGGAUGAUUAUUGGGCUUAAAGCGUCCGUAGCCGGCUUAGCAAGUCUCCUGUUAAAUUCAGCGACCUAAUCGUUGAGCCGCGGGAGAUACUACUAGGCUAGGAGGCGGGAGAGGUCGACGGUACUUCUGGGGUAGGGGUGAAAUCCUAUAAUCCCGGGAGGACCACCAGUGGCGAAGGCUGUUGACUAGAACGCGCUCGACGGUGAGGGACGAAAGCUGGGGGAGCGAACCGGAUUAGAUACCCGGGUAGUCCCAGCCGUAAACGAUGCGGGCUAGGUGUUGGGGUGGCUACGUGCCACUUCAGUGCCGCAGGGAAGCCAUUAAGCCCGCCGCCUGGGGAGUACGGCCGCAAGGCUGAAACUUAAAGGAAUUGGCGGGGGGAGCACCACAAGGCGUGAAGCUUGCGGUUCAAUUGGGAAUCAACGCCGGU